This 253-nucleotide ribosomal RNA is filed under the name uncultured bacterium. Its description in RNAcentral is "partial 16S ribosomal RNA". It matches the Rfam family "Bacterial small subunit ribosomal RNA", at positions 524 to 776 of the family's 1533-position model. The record is from RNAcentral.
GACAGAGGGUGCGAACGUUGUUCGGAAUUACUGGGCGUAAAGCGCGUGUAGGCGGCAGCGCAAGUCGGGCGUGAAAUCCCACAGCUCAACCGUGGAAGUGCACUCGAAACUGCGCAGCUAGAGUCCUGGAGAGGAAGGUGGAAUGCUUGGUGUAGAGGUGAAAUUCGUAGAUAUCAAGCGGAACACCGGUGGCGAAGGCGGCCUUCUGGACAGUGACUGACGCUGAGACGCGAAAGCGUGGGGAGCAAACAGG